RNAcentral lists this ribosomal RNA (504 nucleotides) under uncultured fungus. RNAcentral's name for it is "SSU rRNA". It matches the Rfam family "Eukaryotic small subunit ribosomal RNA", at positions 248 to 755 of the family's 1831-position model. The record is from RNAcentral. Lineage: Eukaryota; Fungi.
GAUUCAUAAUAACUUCUCGAAUCGCACGGCCUUGCGCCGGCGAUGGUUCAUUCAAAUUUCUGCCCUAUCAACUUUCGGCGGCUGGGUCUUGGCCAGCCGUGGUGACAACGGGUAACGGAGGGUUAGGGCUCGACCCCGGAGAAGGAGCCUGAGAGACGGCUACUACAUCCAAGGAAGGCAGCAGGCGCGCAAAUUACCCAAUCCCGACUCGGGGAGGUAGUGACAAUAAAUACUGAUACAGGGCUCUUUUGGGUCUUGUAAUCGGAAUGAGUACAAUCUAAAUCCUUUAACGAGGAGCAAUUGGAGGGCAAGUCUGGUGCCAGCAGCCGCGGUAAUUCCAGCUCCAAUAGCGUAUAUUAAAGUUGUUGCAGUUAAAAAGCUCGUAGUUGAAUCUCGGGCCUGGCUGGCCGGUCCGCCUCACCGCGAGUACUGGCUCGGCCGGGUCUUUCCUUCUGGGGAGCCUCAUGCCCUUCACUGGGUGUGCUGGGGAACCAGGACUUUUAC